RNAcentral lists this ribosomal RNA (403 nucleotides) under uncultured bacterium. RNAcentral describes it as "bacterial SSU rRNA". It matches the Rfam family "Bacterial small subunit ribosomal RNA", at positions 362 to 758 of the family's 1533-position model. The record is from RNAcentral.
UUUUUCGCAAUGGGCGCAAGCCUGACGAAGCGACGCCGUGUGAGUGAUGAAGGCCUUCGGGUUGUAAAGCUCUUUCGCCUGGGACCAAGAGAGGUAUACUAAUAGUAUGCCAAUUUGAGGGUACCAGGUAAAGAAGCACCGGCUAACUCCGUGCCAGCAGCUGCGGUAAUACGGAGGGUGCAAGCAUUAAUCGGAUUUAUUGGGCGUAAAGGGCGCGUAGGCGGGUUGGUAAGUCAGAUGUGAAAUUCCGAGGCUCAACCUCGGAGCUGCAUUUGAAACUACCAAUCUUGAGGUAUGGCGGAGAAAACGGAAUUCCACGUGUAGCGGUGAAAUGCGUAGAUAUGUGGAGGAACACCGGGGCGAAAGCGGUUUUCUAGCUUUAACCUGACGCUGAGGCGCGAAA